GAGGUCAAACCCAAAAGAGAUCGCGUGGACGUCCUGCCUGGGGCUGAAGCGUUAAACUCAAUCAGGCUAGUCUGUCAGUAGCGUGUCCAUCCGCAGCUGGCCGG
Molecule: non-coding RNA, 104 nt
Filed under: mosquito metagenome
Source: RNAcentral